AAAGAGCUAAUUAAUUAUAAAACGUUAUUGUUGUAAAAAUAUUUUUAAUAAUUAUUUUGAAAUGAAAUGUUAUUCGUUUUAAAAGAUAUCUAGUUUUUUUAGAAAAAGAUUUAAUUUUAAAUUUAUAAUAAGAAGUAAUUAAUUAAUUAAUUACUUCUUUGGAGAAUUUUAUACUUUAAGGGAUAAGCUUUAAAUUAAAUUUUUAUAAUUAAUAUUUAAGUUUUUGAAAAUUUUAUAAUUUAUAUUGUUAAUAAAUUUUAUUUUAUUGUAAAUAAUUUCAAUUAAAAAAAAAUUUAAUUUAAAAUUUAAUUUUAUAUAAAAAAAUUAAUUUUAAUAAUAAAAAAUUAAAAAAUUAUGAUAAAAUUAGUAUAUAAUAUUAAUUAAAUUUAAUAUUAAAAUUUUAAUUGAUUUAAUUAAAAGGAAUUCGGCAAAUAUUAAUGUUCACUUGUUUAACAAAAACAUGUCUUUUUGAAAUUAAUUUAAAGUCUAAUCUGCCCACUGAUUUAAUUAUUAAAGGGCUGCAGUAUUUUGACUGUACAAAGGUAGCAUAAUCAUUAGUCUUUUAAUUGAUGACUUGUAUGAAAGAUUGGAUGAAAUAUUAACUGUCUCUUAAUUAAUUUAUAGAAUUUAAUUUUUUAUUUAAAAAGUUAAAAUAUUUUAAAAAGACGAGAAGACCCUAUAGAGUUUUAUAAAUAAGUUUAUUAUUUAUUAUUUUUAAUUUCUUAAAUAUUUUUAAAUUUAUUUAUUUUAUUGGGGUGAUAAAAAAAUAAAUAAAACUUUUUAAGUGAUAAACAUAAAUAAGUGAAUAAAUGAUCCAAUUUUACUGAUUAUAAGAUUAAAUUACCUUAGGGAUAACAGCGUAAUUUUUUUUUUUAGUUCUUAUAAGAAAAAAAGUUUGCGACCUCGAUGUUGGAUUAAGAUAAAAUUUAAAUGCAAAAGUUUAAAAUUUUUG
RNAcentral lists this ribosomal RNA (952 nucleotides) under Agaraeus parvus distans. Its description in RNAcentral is "partial 16S rRNA". The record is from RNAcentral. Lineage: Eukaryota; Metazoa; Arthropoda; Insecta; Lepidoptera; Geometridae.